This 496-nucleotide ribosomal RNA is filed under the name uncultured bacterium. RNAcentral describes it as "partial 16S ribosomal RNA". It matches the Rfam family "Bacterial small subunit ribosomal RNA", at positions 28 to 506 of the family's 1533-position model. The record is from RNAcentral.
GAUGAACGCUGGCGGCGUGCCUAAUACAUGCAAGUCGAGCGAACGGACGAGAAGCUUGCCUCUCUUAUGUUAGCGGCGGACGGGUGAGUAACACGUGGAUAACCUACCUAUAAGACUGGGAUAACUUCGGGAAACCGGAGCUAAUACCGGCUAAUAUUUUGGACCGCAUGGUUCAAAAGUGAAAGACGGUCUUGCUGUCACUUAUAGAUGAAUCCGCGCUGCAUUAGCUAGUUGGUAGGGUAACGGCUUACCAAGGCAACGAUGCAUAGCCGACCUGGACGAGGGAUCGGCAACCCGGAAACUGAGAAACGUCCCAGAUCCUUACGGAAGGCAGCGGGGGGGAAUUUGCCGAAAGGGGGGAAAGCCUAACGGAGCAACGCGGGGGUAGUGAGGAAGGUCUUCGGAUCGUAAAACCCUGUUAUGAGGAAAGAACAUAUGUGUAAGUAACUGUGCACAUCUGGACGGUACCUAAGCAGAAGGCCCCGGCGAACUACGU